AUGAUUGUUAACCUAUUUGAUGGGUCAGAUACAUUACACUAGAAACUUUCGGUGUCAGGAGUUUUCUCAGUGAACUCUAUGUACAUGGAUUUGAUAUACACUGAUCCAAUCCCAAAGUCGCUUCACGGCUAGAAAAUUAAGGUACCUUUAAAAAUAAAUGUCUUCAUGUGGUUUGUUCACAAGGAUGUGAUCUUGACUAAGGACAACUUGGCAAAGCAUAAAUGGGAUGGUAGUAAACGGUGUUGUUUUUCUCGAAUUCCCACUAGCCAAGUUACUGCAGCAUACGGUUCAUGUGGCAUUCAAUAUCAGUCCCUUCUAGCUACAUGCGGCGUUUUUUUGGCUCCUUCAGCUGUCUCCCGAUGGGCUGGGCGAACGGUCAGGCGGCCGCGCGGAGGUCCGGGCGGGUGA
Molecule: ribosomal RNA, 408 nt
Filed under: Triticum aestivum (bread wheat)
Lineage: Eukaryota; Viridiplantae; Streptophyta; Magnoliopsida; Poales; Poaceae
Description: partial small subunit ribosomal RNA
Source: RNAcentral